CCUACGGGUGGCAGCAGUGAGGAAUAUUUGUCAAUGGGCGCGAGCCUGAACCAGCCAAGUCGCGUGAAGGAUGACUGCCCUACGGGUUGUAAACUUCUUUUAUAAAGGAAUAAAGUGAGGCACGUGUGCCUUUUUGUAUGUAUUUUAUGAAUAAGGAUCGGCUAACUCCGUGCCAGCAGCCGCGGUAAUACGGAGGAUCCGAGCGUUAUCCGGAUUUAUUGGGUUUAAAGGGAGCGUAGAUGGUUUGUUAAGUCAGUGGUGAAAGUUUGCGGCUCAACCGUAAAAUUGCAAUUGAUACUGGCAGUCUAGAGGACAGUUGAGGUAGGCGGAAUGCGUGGUGUAGCGGUGAAAUGCGUAGAUAUCACGAAGAACUCCGAUUGCGAAGGCAGCUUACUAAACUGCCACUGACAUUGAUGCUCGAAAGUGUGGGGAGCAAACAGGAUUAGAUACCCGAGUAGUC
This 460-nucleotide ribosomal RNA is filed under the name uncultured bacterium. RNAcentral's name for it is "partial 16S ribosomal RNA". It matches the Rfam family "Bacterial small subunit ribosomal RNA", at positions 338 to 795 of the family's 1533-position model. The record is from RNAcentral.